Phycodurus eques (leafy seadragon) is the source of this 625-nucleotide long non-coding RNA. RefSeq lists it as uncharacterized. The transcript is spliced from 3 exons. Lineage: Eukaryota; Metazoa; Chordata; Actinopteri; Syngnathiformes; Syngnathidae. The record is from RefSeq and is a predicted model, not a curated record.
UCUCCCUCUUCCUGCCCGAGAGCCGCACUUUUAAAUAGGUUAGCUAUUAGAUUAGCAGGCAAUAUCAGUUAUCUUGUAGAUUAGCUGCUGGAUUGCCUGGCUGCUAGGCAAACCAGCAGAUAGAUCAGGUAGCUAGCAACUAACUGAACUAGUUACUCGGGACGCUAACUGCUGCAUCGGCUAGUCGCAAGAUCAGACUCGUAUGACAACAGUUACGAAACAGAUGACUUCCUUUGGGGGAAAAAAAAACCUGGUCCUCUUUUCCAAACUUAUCAACCAAUCAUUGGCGUGCCGCCACACAUCCCACGCAUCAUCCCCAGCUUCAUCUCCUCCGUCGGACCAAAACCAGCCUGCAUGAUGAUUGUUGUGCCCUGACACGUCCCGUCGGGGGCCAGAACCCCAAAACAUUACAACAAGGCGAUGAUCCCCCUCUGCUUGAAAAAAACAAAACCAAAAACAGGGACGCGGUCCUCCUCACAUGCCGUCGGUCGACGCAGAAUCCUUACAGCAACAGCCUCACGUCGAUCGUUGCCACCACCACAGGAGAAGGGGGAAGGACAGAGGUGAAGCGACAGUAAAACAGGCCAAAAUCCCCACUCAUUGCUUACUAGGUGUGAUUUAACCA